AACCCAACGCAAAAGAGCAAGGAGGAGAGCGUGGGACCGUGGGGGCGGCGAUGCCAGACCGCCAGAUGAGGUGGUUGCGGGAGGGGCCGCGGCGUGUGUGUGUGUGUGACUGUGUGUGUGUGUGUGUGUGUGUGUGUGUGUGUGUGUGUGUGUGUGUGUGUGUGUGUGUGUGUGUGUGUGUGUGUGUGUGUGUGUCUGUGUGUGUGUGUGUGUGUGUGUGUGUGUGUGUGUGUGUGUGUGUGUGUGUGUGUGUGUGUGUGUGUGUGUGUGUGUGUGUGUGUGUGACAACGGUUUACAGUUGUUUAUCAGAUCACGUGAUCGUGUAUCCGGACAACCCGUAGUUGCUAGUGCCAGGGGCGCAUUAGCACCUUGUUUGUCGCGCAUUGGUCUGGCAGUACAUGUCUCCCAAGCCUACGCGUAGCGUUAGACGUCAGUUUGGCCACAGGAGCCGCACCUCCAUCUAUUGUGGUUAGACACUGAUUUGGCCCUAAGAGCCGCACCUCCUGUGUGUGUGUGUGUGUGUGUUGUGUCCCCUCGUGCGCGCUGUGAGUUCCCACCCGCCUCACCUCUCACUUCUAACCCCGCCCCGCCCCCCCCCCCCGGUAUGGAAUGCGUCGCGUGUGCCCGCUGUACCUCUGGACGUCGGCACUUCACUUCAUAUUUGAUACACACCAUCCCAUGGAUGGCUACCCCCCCCCCCCGGGUUCCCCCCUCAGGCCGGCAGCUGCACAUCGGCACCUACGGCACCGACCUGGAGGCGGCGCUGGUGAGGCGGUUGGCUGGGGUUGUAGGCGGUUGGGGGUUGUAGGCGGUUGGAGAUGGCAGUUAGACAUGGUUGGAGGUCUUGCUGGUCUGCCGGGGGGGUAGCCUCUUCCUCCACGACUUACCAGUCAUCACGCACUCUGAACCCCCCAUUCACGCACCCAUUGCCCCGCCUCAAGCAACACACACAUACACCACACACACACACACACGCACACCACAGGCGUACGACCGCGUGUCGCGCUACCUCCGUGGCGCCGCCGCAGUCGUCAACUUCCCCUCGGAGGCCGCCGCCGCCGCCGCCAUCACCGCCGCCGCCGCCAGCGAGUCUGCUGCCGCUUCCCGCGACACAGCUGCCACCGCCGCCUCGCCACAGGCAGCCGUGACGGUGCGGCGGGACUCCGCAGCCGCACACCCACCGUCACCAUCACCAGGUGUGUUACUUCGCGCUGCGACACCGGAAGAUGAGGAACAGUCGGUUUAGUGAGCAGAACUGUUAUAGGACUGAUGCGGCCAGGGCCCGGCCCGUUUCCCAUCCUUCGCGCGGCGAGAGCGGUUUCCAUCUUGCGCAUUGCGUGUGGGUUUUCCCUUAGCGCUACUGCCCCCCGCCCCCGCCGCCUCGCUCCUGUAUGUUUAAUUGCGCCGCACAGGGCACACAGCCGAAGGCCCCGCAGCGGCCGACGAGGCCGGCGGCGGCGGCGGCAGCGGCGGAGCUUCUGCUGGCGGCGGCGGCGGCCGCGGCGCGGGCGGCGGCAAGCCCUGGCCCGCCACCCUGCUGGACUCCAUCCCAGCGGUGGCGUCAUCGGCGGCGGCGGCGGCGGCUGGCGGUGGCAUGCCGGCGCCAGCUGCUGCUGCUGCAGUUGAUGAAGACGCGCUGUUAGCGGCGCCUUGCGGCGGCGGCGGCGGCGGCGGUCGCUGUGUGCGGCGGCGCAUAUCCGCACUGGAGCCGCGCUCAACCGUGUCGCCUGGCGUGCUACAGCCGCCGCCGCCGCCGGCAGUACCGGCGGCGGCGGCGGCGCCAGUUUCGCGCCAGCACACCGCCGCCGCCGCCACGACCCAUAUGAUGCAGCAGCAGCAGACCGUGGCGGCGGCGAUGGUGGUGGCGGCGUCCGCUGCUGCGGCCGCCGCCGUGGCGGGUGCGGCUCAUCAGGCGGCGGCGGCGGCCAACGGCGGCGCCGCCGCCGCCGCCGCCGCGCGCAGGCGCCGUGACAGUGGCGGCGGCGCCGCCGACAUCGUCACCGACGGCGCUGCCGCCACUAGCAGCGCCCAUGCACGUGCUGCUGCUGCUGCCUGCGGGGCGUCGGCGGCCGCCAGGCCGGGGCCCCAGGCCGUCAGCGGCGGCGGCGGCGACGGCGAUGAUGGACACAAUGCCGCCGCCACCGCUGCCGCUGCGGCCACCGGACAAGGCGUCAUCAGUCAGGUAACCGGCGGCUCCGCGCCGCCGCUGCAGCCGUGGCGGCCGGCGGCGACGGAGGUGCUUGAUUGCAAUGGUUGCGACGGCGGAGGAGGCGACGGCGACGUUGACAGCAGCAGUGCCCGCGCCUCCUGUUGGGUGGCCCGGGGCCUGCCCGGCAUUGACGUGGCGUGGCGCCACAGUGCCAGUGCCGGUGCCGGUGCUGGUGGUGACCACGAUGACUGCUGCGCGCCCACAGAUGCGGUCAUGCUGCCUGCUGCUGUGUCGGCGGCGCCACAUGCCUUCCUCCCGUCCACCCCGCAGCAGCACCCGCAGCACCCGCAGCGCCCGCAGCACGUGGCGGCGGCGGCGGCGCCACUGCUGCCGCCGCUGGCGGCUGUCGCGGCGGCGGCGGCGGCUCCCGCUCGCUCCUUCCUGCGCCACAGCUGCCCUCCCGACCACCCCGCCGCCGCCGCCGCCGCCGCCGCACCCAGCCAUCAGGACAUCCAACAGCCCCAUCACCACCACCAUCACCAGCCCCUCACCCGCAGCGGCAGCCCGCCGCCGCCGGACCCCAGCAGCGGGGGCAACAGCCGGCGGGAGGUGGCGGCGGCGCUGGCGGCCCUGCUGGCGGCGGGCGUGCCCCCGGACUUCCUGGCACAAGUCAUUAGCCGCCGCCAGCCGCAGGCGGCGCAGCACGAGCUGCAGCGGGCGCACACCCAGCAGUUGGCGGCCGUGGAUUGCCACCACAUGCACCUGCUGCUGCAGCCGUGCCCGUCAUCAUCACACCCGCCGCCGCCGCCCGCCACCGCCGCCGCCGCCGCCACCACCACACCAUCUCCCACCACUACACGUCCCACCGCCGCCACCGGCAAGGACGCCGCGAUCGCUGCCAUCCUCAAGAGCCUCAUGGGGCCACAGCAGCGGCCGACACCGCCGCCGCCGCCGCCGCCGCCGCCCCCACCGCACGCGAUGCCCUACCCGCCGGCGCCUGCCGUCAAGGGGCCGCCGCCGCCGGGGCCGCCGCCGCCCUCACCCGCCCUGCCGCCGCUGCAAUCCAACAGCGGCUGGUGCCCCUCAUCACGCAACAGCAGCUCGCAUCCUGCUGCCACUGCUACUGCCAUGGCUUCUGCCACUGCCACUGCUAUUGCUACUGGUGCUGGUUCUGGCAGCGCCGACGGCGCAUCACUUGACAGGUCAGCCGUGUCGUCAGCGGCGGCGGCGGCGGCGGCGGCAACGGCAACAGGCGGCAGCGUGGGCACCUGUGGAGCUGGCGGCGGUGGCCGCGGCGGCGGCGAGGAGGAGGAGGGCAGCGGGCUGCGGCGGCACGUGAUGACUUGGGUGGGUGGGCAGCUGCCCGGACUUCGGGGCGGCCUGCUCGGGGGCGCGCUGCUGGCGGCAGCGGCGCCGCCGCCGCCGCCCACACCCGCUGUGGCUGCCGCACCUGCUACUGCCAUGGCCGAAGAGCCGGCUGUAGCGAGCGGCGUCAGCCCCGACAGCAUCCGUAGCCUGCUGCUGCUACAGCGCCGCCUGCAACAGCAGCAGCAGCAGGUGGCGGCGCCGCCUGCGGAGCAGCAGCAGGCGGGCCGCCCCCCUUGCGCCCCCGCCGCCGCCGCCGCCGCCGCCGCCGCCGCCGAUGCUGAUGCGGACAUGGUAGACGCCGUGUCCAGCCCGCGGGUGGCGGAGGCGGCGGAGGCCCAGCCGGCGGUGGCGGCGGCGGUGGUCUGCCGCCGCCGUCACACCACGACCGAGCUGUCGUACACGCCAGCCGGGGGCUUCGCCGCCGGCGCCGCCGCCGCUGCGUCAGGAUCCUCAUACGCACGCGAGCCGCCGCGGCAACGGCCACGCCUGACCAGCCAUUAUGAGGAGGAGCAGCCGCAGCAGGGGCAGCAGCGACAGCAGGGGCAGGAGCAGCAGCAGCAGCCGCCCUUGCUGCCGCUGCUGCUGCUGCCCACGCGCCGCCACACGGCACCGGUAUGGGCGCAUGGCGGCGGCGGCCAUGAAAACGGCGGCCGUGAAAAUGCCGGCGGCGUGAGUGGCGGCGGCGGCGGCGGCCGCGAGUUCGGCUUCUGUGCUGUGGACGAGGCGGAUGAGGAACUCCUGUGCGGCGGCGGCGGCGGCGGCGGCGGAGAUGGCGGCUCGCCGUUGGCGCUGCAUUGGCGGCAACUGCAAGCAAUGCAGCUGCAGGCGCAGCAGGCGCAGCAGGCGCAGCAGGCGCAGGUGUCUUGGUCGCUAGGGCCGCAGCGGGUUCUGGAGCUGGCGCGUGGCGGCGGCGGCGGCGGCGGCGGCGGUGGUGGCUUACUGAUGCCGUUGUCUCCCUCGCACCAGCAGGCGCAGGCGCAGGAGCAGGCGCAGGGGUGGCUGCUUGGCCAGCUGCUGCAACAGCAGGGGCAGCAGCCGCAAGAGGGCACCCCCUGCAGCCCCACAGCGGUGGGCGGGGCGGCGGCGGCGGCGGCGGGCGGCAAGCGGCCCCGGGAGGACGCCUGCUACCGCAGCAGUGCGGACGGCGUGGAGGCACUGGGGCUGCGGCUGGGGCUGGGUGGUGUGGGGCUAGGUGCGGGCUAUGCGGGCGCUGCCGCCAGUGGUAUGGAUGGGAUGGAGAGCGGCGGUUGGGAGGAUGCGGGGCAGCAGGCGCCGCUGUCUGAUGAUGUUGAUGCGGCUUCGGGAGAAGCAGCAGCACCGCCAGCUAGCGCGGCGCCGGCGGCCCCAGAGGCCCCAGAGGCGGCGGCGGCGGACUGGGCGCCCGCGCCGGCGGCCCGGGGCCACCCCGACCGCAAGACACGGCUGCUGUAUGGCCACCAACACCACCAACACCACCACCUGCGCCCGCAGCUGUAGAGCUGUCCAGCGGCGCGCGUGCACGUGACAGCAGGCGGCGGCGGCGGUGGCAGCGGCGGCGCUGGAGCGUGAGGAGGAGCAGAGCGGCCGCGCAGCGCACGAUGAGUAGUGGAAAUGGAAGGAGGCCUGCCCAUUUAUAUCCGCGUGUGAGAGCCUGCGUCUUGUGCUAUGUCCUGGGGUUGUCCCAGCAUUCAGCGCGGCAGCUUAUAGAUAGCUGCGGCGAUUUUGUUUGUAUUGCUUACUUGGAUGGACUGAUACGAGAUUGCUGUCUGCUCCGAAGGGGUGAUGUGGUGGUGGCGGUGGUGAGACUACGGUAAUUUGUGCAGCACUGCAGUUGUAUUAUCGAAACUUCUCAUGUCCAGGACCUGCAAAUGGGUUUGCCAAGUUCAGAAAACAUGUGUGUGAGCGCUUCAGAGCCAAACAUUGGAAAUGACGCGCUGACACCGCGGCAGCGUCAGGCUGUGUUACAUAGGCCUCAGAUUCUUAGCAGCAGGCUACGUACUGUAGGUUGACUUGAAAGCUGUAUGUAGAUAGGGCACUUUGUUUGCGGCGCUGUCGGGUUGUUCGCUGUCCAGAAACAAAGCCAUGCUGCUAUUUUGUUUGCUGUGUGCGAGGAACGCACGUGUUUGGGUACUGCUUGUGUUGUCGUGCUGGCUGUGUAGUGUGUACAUUGCUGCGGUCCCGCCCUGAGCAUGGGUACGGUACUAGUACUGGUGCCGGCGGCUGAUGACGUACGGCGGGCUAAACACACCGCAAUGCCCUGUGGUGGGCUAGUUGGUGGCGUGGUGGUGGGUUGAAGGUGCCGUCCUGUAGGGUAGGGGGUACGUGUGCGCUGUCAUGACUCGGCGUGUGGUUGCAGAACGCUGCGCAGCGCCACUCGCUGCCUCCGGACGCACACACGCACACACACGCAGCACACGGCCAGCAGCAGCAGCGCACGCACAUGCACAGCACACGUAGCACAGCACGGCCCAGGCACAGGGUAUAUGAAACUAAUGCGGCAGGCAAGUGGCGUGGACGAGGGCACAAACUGAUGAGGGAACCUAAAUGUGUUUUGCGCAUACCUAUUAUGUUAUUAUGAGUUCUCCAUUGAGUAGAUUGGGGCCGUCCCCAGGUUUAUUGUUUAUGGCACUGGCAAGUUAUGGAGCUGGCGGCGGCAGCAGCAGGAGGUAGGGCGGCCGCGCGCUGGGCAAGGCGGGAAAGGAGCGUUGGCGGCGGCGCAGGACAGGACGAGUGCAGGAUAAAGGCAGGAUUAAGGCAGGAUUAAGGCAGGAUUAAGGCAGGAUGGCAGAGGUGGCGUGGAGGUGUGCAGGAGGUACCGAGGUAGGGCCGGUGCGUGCGCAAGAACGGCGGCACGGUCAGGGAGCCUGCGGCACGUCGGUUGCUGCUGGGGGCUGGGGGAGGAGGGCGGCAGGUGGAAUGGGUAUGGCUAGUGGACGAAUGCACACACACAGGCAAGGACACACACGGGCGCGGCAGCAUCAAUCACUUGUUUGAGUGCUAGUAACUAGCAGAGGGUGGGCUGAAAUAAAAGGGCGGCGGCACGUUGCUGCUAGGGGCUGAGGAGGAGGGAGGCCCUCCCCUGGAUGUGGUGUACUAACGCACACACUCCGGCAAGGACACACACGCCGGCUUGUUUUGGUGGUAGUAAGUAGCAGCAGGGGUGGGCUAAAAUUAGAACGGCGGCGCCCCCGAGAAUGGCAAUGACAAUGUAACGGUGGGCCUGUUGCCUCUGGCCCUGUGCCCAAAGUCUGCCCAGUCCAUGCCCCAGCGAAGACGACGCGGACGACGCGCAACGGCACAAGGCCUUAGUUGACGGGCGGCCAGGCCCUUCCAACCGGGGCUUCCAACCACCCUCAGCCCCAAUCCCUAGUGGCUAGUGCCCUACCUCUUAGCCCCACCUCUUAGCUUCAGCAAUGCUGCCCAACUUCGGUACCCCACGCUGCCAAUGCUGCAGCCCCGGGCAGCAGCAGCUCGGCGUGGGCGCACAUGGAGAUGGAUAGCCGCUGCCCAGCAUAAGCCUAGUGCGUGCGUACGUGCGGCGCAGGAACGCCGCCGGUGAGAUAGAGGACUUGAUGGUUAGCCAGAGAUGCUCAAUAUUUCAGUCAGACCCGGGGGUGGGUCGGUCAUUAUUACCUUGCAGCGCUCUGCCGUACAGCCGCACCCCCACCCAUUCGUUCUCACCCCGGUCAGGUGCGCACUGCCAACUAACGCGCUGCACUCACGACAACUUCCGUACUCGGGUCUGGCUGAACCGCACGCACUGAGACCGAAAGGCACGCUUUGUCCCCAUUAUUGCUGUGCACGCACCCUCUUCAACAGCCACACACUGCUGAAGCUGCCGCCGCUCUUUGACGCACCCACUGCAAAGCCGGAGGCCCUUCCACGUACGAGUGCUCCCUGGCCUCAAUCCAAACUGCACAGCUGAGCCUGGCUCCACUGCCCCUUGCCUCAAUGCCACAACCCAUACAGCCAUUCUGUGUGUAAAGCACUACCUAUGCCAGAGCCAUAAGCCCACCUGCCCCACAGCUCACGUACACAGACACAUAACAUAUUCGCAUACACUGUGUGCGCUAUGCUUUCCUUGUGCUCUUUAACACAUAACAUAUUCAACUGACACUAGAGCAUGGCUACGGAGCUAUGCAUGAAGACCUUACCCGCCGCACGCCAACCCACGCCACGUCACGCCUCACAUCACAAAGUGACUCAUGCAUGUCACACACGCGCCUCACACAUCACAACGCGCCGUCCUUCUCCGCGUUGCGCAGUGUGUGCACCAGGUCUAUCCCGUGCUCCGGCAGCACCUGCGCGGGGGGGGGGCGUGGGGCGUGCGGUAUGGCAUGUGUGUGUGUGUGUGUGGGGGGGGGGGGGUUGGGGUGGGAUGGGGGUCUGUGUGGGCGUGUUUGGGUGUGUGUGUGUAUGGCGUGACGUGAUCAGGCAGCGUGGGCGCGCCACCGCGAUGGAGCGUGCUGCGUGUCAGCUGUUGCUGCACCGGCGGGAGGGCGUGUGAUGCCGGCCCCGAGGCCGCGAGGGCCGGCCCCUGAACCCCCUGCACCCUCACGCGUACCCACAGAACAGGCGCUUGAGCCGCUUGAGCCGCUUGAGUCGCCGGCGGCGCCUCCAAGCCACCUCAUCCGACCACCCACCCGGACGUGUAACCCCCGCACCCACACACCGCCCCCGCACCCACCCACCCACCUCGUGCAUGAGGCCGUCCGCCGACCUGCGGCACUUCUUGAGGAACGCCAGCAGCACCUGCACACCGGGCGGGUGCCCGCGUGUGUGUGUGUGUGGUUGCGUGGUUGUGUGUGUUUGUGUGGUUGUGUGUUUGUGUGUGAGCGUGUGUGUGUGUGUGUGAGCGUGUGUGUGUAUUUGUGUGUAUGUGUGUGUGAGAGAGAGAGGGAGUGGGUGUGUCCGCGGCUGUGGCUGUGGCGGCACUAGGUGACAUGUACCGUGUUGCAGUGGGGGCAGAUGGGGGCGGGGGUAGCGGGCUUCACAACGCUCCCCAGCCGACCGGAAGUGUGUGUGCAUGAUCCUGUGUGCGCGAGCCACAGAGGAGACACACGCACCUUGUGGAACACGUCGGGCUUGUCCUCGUAGCUGCGGUGGCCCGCACCCGGGAUGACCACCUGCACGAGGGAGGGUUGGGUGGGCGUGUGUGUGUGUGUGUGUGUGUGUCCUUCCCACACUGCCUGCCGUGUCGAACCCUUUUCUAUCGUGUGCUUUCUAACACUGCGCCGGCCCCUGUCUCUACAUAGCCACACACACACACUCCCCUCGCACCUUCCAGCUGUGUUGGAACAGCUUGGUCAGCCGCUCCGCAUCCGGCACCAGCGCGUCCUUGGCGCCGUACACGGCCAGCGCGCACACCUGUGUGUGUGUAGUUAUGUGUGUGUGUGUGUGCGUGUGUGUGUGUAUCAGGCGAGGAAUGGGGGAAACAAUCGACACUGUGCAUGUGGCAGCGCGUGCAGACGGGGAAGGAACCCUCCCUCCCUCCUUCCCUCGGCCUCCCUCCGUCCCUCUCCCUCCCUCUGCGCCCCCCACCCGCCUCACCCGCUUGUGGGUGUCCUCCCAGGGCCCGCCCCAGUCGCGCACGCCAAUGGGCGCCACAGCCACGAAGCUGGUGAUGAGCGUGCCGUGCCGGUCCAUGAAGGGGAUGGAGUAGCGCCUGCAGGGGUGGUGAGGGUGGCGAGGUGGAUUUGUGCCAGGAAUGAACGAGGCUAUAGGGGCUUAUCGUGAGCACCCCUCCUGGGAAUGGUGAAGACAUCCCCUCCCCUCCCCCUCCCCCUCCCCCUCACUCUAUUGCAUUGGGUUUGGUUUAGUUUGGGCUGGUAUCAAAAACCCUCCCCCUCCCUCCUCCCCCCCCACCCGCUCAUGGAGGGCGACACCAGUACGACGGUGGCGUUCACCCGCUGCCAGGCCGCCUCCACCACCGUGCGCAGCAGCUCGCUGCGCAUGUUGUUGUCGCUGUACGGCAGGGGGGGCGUGUCGCCGAAACCUUGGGUGGGGGUGGGGAGGGCAGAGGGGAGGGCAGAGGGGGAAGGGAAAGGGAAAGGGGGGAGAGUAAAGGAGGGCAGAGGGGUGAGCGGGGAAGGGCCGGCAAACAUCAUGAUGUCGACCUCAGGCAACAAUUUCCACCCCCGCGCCGGGACCCCCUUCUGGUCCCCGUCAACGUUCCUGUCAACGUCCCACACGAGCAGUAUCGCAAUCCUGAACUAGUGAACGUGUCUUGCCAUGCACCUCGAUGUCCCCGCUUUCUCAUGUGGAAUGGUGAAACAACCCCAUCCCCUCCCCCUCCCUCGUUCUCUCCCGCGACCCCCUGCCGCUGCUCCCCCCGCCUCCCUCUCCACCCCAUUACGCAACCCCCCGCUCUGGAUGGGGCUGGCGAGUUUAGGUUCACUCGGUUGGCUUGCUUUGGAUUCUGGAAUGAACUACCCCCGCCCUCCCCCCCCCCCCCCUUCCCGCACCCGGCAGGUCAAUGGCCAGCGCCCGCACGCCCGCCUCCGCCACCGCCUGCAGCGUGCCCAGCUGCUGCCAGAAGGCGGAGCUGUACUUGGCGCCGUGCAGGAAGAUGGCGGUGGGGUUGCGCAUCGCCGCUGCGUCGGAGGGAAGGAGAGGGAGAGGGAUGGGGAGGGGGAGAGGGGCGAGAGUGGGGUUUGGAGCAGUGUGUGGUUUGAGAGGGGAGGGCAGGGGAGAGGGAGACGGUGGAUGGAGAAGGGAGCUGGCAGGCGGGCUAGCGUGUUGGGCGCGGGCAUCGUGGCUGGCGAGAGUUGCGAGCGCUCAGGGCGGUGAGCACCAGUGCACAGCGCACGAGGGCGACUCCCAGGCAGGGAGAAACCGAGCGUCUCCUUCGGGUUUGCUGGCGUGCCCACCUUCCUCCGGCCCAGGGUCGACCACCUCAUAGAGCCUGUAUGCUAUCUUUAUAUCAAAGAAGGGUAUUGUGCCGGUCUUUAGCUCGACUUGCUUCGGCGUGGAAGCAGUGGAAGUUGAAGCUGCUGCAAGGAGCAGCGCCCCUAGACAAGACCAAAGCGCAGAUCUAUGCAUUUUACCGUCGGAACACAUGCAGUUUUCCGAAGAACUCGAAACAGUCGCUGGUUAGUUUCCCGCGAAGAAUCGGACUGUCCAUGCAGUUUUUUCAUCCCAGCAACUUACCGUUCGCUGACUUUUUGACUGUUAUCUGUGUACUGCGUAUAGCAUUGUAAAAUAGGGACACGCUAGCUAGGCCCCCUUCGACGUGACCUUCGGCAGUGAAUGUUGCUUCCUUCCGCACGGAACCUCUGAACUCUAGCUUACGAUCAACCAGCUGCCGGACUAGACUCAUACAUUAUAUAACAAAGCUACUGGAAGCGCCGGGGUGCGUAGCGGGGAGCGAGCGGACGUACAGGCAGCGUCGAAAUGGCACCCAAAAAGGAGGAGAAGAAGCAGGUUGACCCUGUCGAGUAAGUCACUUGCAUGGGGCUGGAGGGGGCGAGCACUGCCGCGGCACAUGCACACCACAUUGCGCGUGUCGCCUCGCCUCCCGCACCGCUGCAGGGCCAAGUUCCAGGAGGAGAUCAAACAGUUAGAGCAGGCUAAGAAUGACCUGCAGCUUGAACACACGUUCCUGCUGGACAAGUUCCGGCAGCUUAAAGCCGAGAACGACCGGCUUCGGGGCGAGAUUGAUGGCAUGAAGGGCCGCCUGACUCACGCUGCCGACGACUAUGUGCGUUGCAUGGGAAGGGGGGUUGGGGUGAGGGUCAAAGCUCCGGGUGGCAUGGUGGUGGUGGUGGUGCUGGCUGGGGUACGGGUCGCGGGGUGGUCGCGGGGGGUUGUGUGGAGGGGGUAGGGGCCGCCAAGGACUUGCGUGGGCACACACGACGUGCCGUUAAGCGGGCGUCUUGCCCCUCCCGCCUUCCUGGUACUGGCACCCGCCUGCGUGCCGCCGCCGAUCGCGUGGCAUCAGGCCAGAGACCGCGCACACACGGCGCAGCGCUGCCUUUUAGGGGGAGGGGGUUACGGGGGGGAAUCAGGCGCUGUCGGCGCAUGUGGCUGGGCAGCUCGUGCGUGCCCUGUGCCCUCAUGCAGUUAUUGUUCCCUCGUGUCAGCCAUUCCUACCGCCCUGCCCUCCUCCUACCGCCCUCCCCCCUGCCUUCCUCCGCCCCCCCCCCCUCCCUGCCCAGGCCGACAUCCUGGAGCACCGCCAGGAGCAGAUCAAGGCCGAGGAGGCCAAACUGAGGGGGCUGCAGGUGGGGUGUGUGUGUGUGGGGGGGAGGAGGCCAAACUGAGGGGGCUGCAGGUGGGGUGGCUGUGUGUGUGGGGAGGAGGAGGCCAAGCUGAGGGGGCUGCAGGUGGGGUGGGGGUGGGGGUGGGGGUGGUUGGGGUUGUAAAUACCAGCCCAAACUAAAACAAACCAAGGAGGGGCAGGGCUGGCGGGGGGGGAGUCCAAACUGAGGGGGCUGCAGGUGGGGUGGUUGUGUGGAGGGUGGGUGGGCAGGGCUGGCAGGGGGAAGGCAGGGUUGGGGCUUGCGGGGGCGGGGGCAGGGCUAGGGCGCGGGGCCGCACGGGUGAGACACCGUGCCGAGACCAACUCUGACGAGUUUGCAACUUGUCGGGCACAAGUUUUGAGAGGGGCAUUUUUCGCAUCUGGGGUGGGGGCAGACGUUGGGAUUGGAGUGAAGGACCCUCCAAACACACACGCACACGCGCCCCCGAACCCCCCUGCUGCUGCUGCUGCUGUCGCGCCGUCGCAGUCCAACGUGGAGAAGCUGGAGCUGGACGUGGGUCGGGCGGAGGAGGAGAUCCGGCAGCUCAAGGAGGCCAACGGGCACCAGGUGGGGUGGGUGGGUGGAGGAGGGGGGUGGAGGUGGGGUGGGGGGUGGGUGGGACGGGGUUGGGGGUUGGAAGGCGGUGGGGGGGUGGGCGGGGGUUGUGUGUGUUUGUGUGUGUGGGGGGGGUAGCCAUCCAUGGGAUGGUGUGGGGGGGGUAGAGAGGUUGGUCAGGGGGCAGGCAGCGGGCCGCCGUGGUGGCCGCCGUGGUGGCGGCCGCGGUGCAGAGCGAGGGGUUAGGUGGACAAGGCGAAGGGCGGAGAGGGCGAGGCGGGCAGGAGCGGCCAGGAGGGCUGGUGCUGCAGAGGGCGGCACCUGAGAAAGCCGGCUGUGGUGGUGGUGGGCACAGCUGUUGGCGCAUUGCCAAAACGCCUGACCCAUCGGGUCUUGGCUUCUUUGAUAUUGGAAUGAACAACACACACCAUCANNNNNNNNNNNNNNNNNNNNNNNNNNNNNNNNNNNNNNNNNNNNNNNNNNNNNNNNNNNNNNNNNNNNNNNNNNNNNNNNNNNNNNNNNNNNNNNNNNNNUCGGGUCAUUGGUCGUGCCUGCGACUUGGUGACUGCGGGCAACACACACACACACGUGGACCGUAUGUGCGGACAUGAUGCGCGACCAAUCAACCCGUCUAUUUGCCCCGUCCUCCCUCCACCCGCCCCCCCCCCCCAACCCCCAACUUCUCCCCAGGGCCGCGAGAGCCGCUUCCGCGUCACUGGCCUCAAGUCCAACACGGAGUACAUCAUGUGCGUCAAGGCGCUGUACGACGACGGCAGCUUCCUGUGGAGCGAGAGCAAGGCCUACCGCACCCUGGCCUAGCUGGGCGGGGGGGCUGAGGCGGGUGGAUGGGGGGCGGGGCUGAUGGUGUGUGUGCGUGUGUGGGGGGAGUGGUGGUGUACGGGUGUGCCGGGGUUCGGGUGGACGGGUGGACUGAGGUGCUGCAUGAUGGAGUGUGGCGCCUCGGUGUGGUGCCGGUCGCGCAAGGCCGUGCGUGCGUGGUGCUGCGUUUUGCUGCAGCAAGUGAUUGAGGCGCGGCGGCGGAUUGCAGAGUGUCAGCAUUGGGGAGAUAUACAUGGACUCAUGGAACGAGCGCCAGCAGGCACCGAGUCUGCACCAAUGUGUGUCCAACCUCCAUAACUCCAUUCCAACCCCAAGUCCUCCCAGUCCUCACUCCCCAAGUCCUCGUCCCCCGAGUCCUCAUUGCCCAACACCUCAACACCUGGUGCCUCUUGGCCCAGGCAAACCCUCGCGAACCAAUUGCCACGUGGCCAGCAGCAAAGCAUACCGUACGUUUUUGGUCACCCGUGUAAUGAUUGACGGGCACCAUUUACUGUCUACGCUGCAACAGUGAUGUCUACGCCUAGCCUAUUAUACACACCAGCAUAGCACCAGCCAGCCCAUGUCGCAAUUCGCAAGUCGAAGUGGUGGCUGCCGUAAACCCCAGCUCUGCCACGCGGCCUCUAACCCCACUGCCCCGGCCCGACUCCUGAGACACCACGCUCUGCCACACAACUCUGCCCGGGAGCAGCCCCCCACACCAGUUCAGUCCAGGCGAAUGUCACCCAUACAUGUGGCCGCCACGCCCAGCUGCUGCAGCACCUCCCCCCCCCCAAAGUCCCCUGACACCCGCCCGCCCGCUCAUGCCCCCACCAGCACAACCCUCUCACUGCGCCGCACUCCCCUCACAUUACCGUACUUCACGCCCGCCCGCCCAACCAAGGCCCCAGCCACGCAAAUCCACCCUUCCCCAUCCCCACUCCCACUCCAGCCCCAUCCCUACCUACGCCCCCUCCAGCCCGCCGUGCCACCUCCUCCCCCCCCUCUGCCUGCACUCCCCUCGUUUUCGUUGGUUCGGUUUAGGUUGGGCUGGUAUUUACAACCCCUUUACUCCCACUCCAGGUCCUCGGGCCGUAUCGCCUUUUUAAGCGGCACCACCGACCUGCGGCUCGCGUCCCGCUGCAGCGCCUUGCGCAUGUCGUACGCGUCCUCGUCGCCGCUGUAGUAGCCGGUUACGGUGCGGUACACGAUGUAACCGAACUUGCCGUACAUGGCGAUGGCCACGGCGUUGGACUUGCGCACGAACAGGUCCACAAAGUAGCAGUCGUGCACCUGGGGGGGGGGGAUUCGAAUAGGGGGGGAUUGGGGGAUGGGGUGGGGAGGGGCGAACGCACGGGGCGAAUGUGGGUGAGGGUUGAUGACGGGCGAAUGGGUAGGAUGGGGUCCUCACCUCCUCAAUCCCGCACCGUCGCACUCCCUUUCCAUAUUCUUAUGCGGUUAUGCCCUCACCCACACGUCUCUUGGCGCUCUCUAACAUUCCUCCACCCACCCAAGUUUACUUUGAAAUUAACUACCCCCGCCCCCACGCCCCCGGGUUUCGGAACAAAACGCGCCCCCUCCCCCUCCUCCCAUGUUCCCCCCCCCGCCCACCUUCUCCGAGAUCUCCUCCAGUAUGGCCAUCAGCUUCUGCGCCAGGCUCUGCCGCCGGAAGUCCGGCCCCACCGUCACCGCCGUCACGUGGCCGUGCCACAGCUCGCCCUCGCCCUCGGCCUUGCCCAGGAUGUAGCUGCGGGGGUGCGGGGGCGGGGCGUGUGUGUGUGUGUGUGUGUGUGUGUGUGUGUGUGUGUGUGUGUGUGUGUGUGUGUGUGUGUGUGUGUGUGUGUGUGUGUGUGUGUGUGUGUGUGUGUGUGUGUGUGUGUGUGUGUGUGUGUUAAAGAGCACAAGGAAAACGUUGCGCAAAGACAGUGUAUGCGAUGCAGCAAAGCGAUGGUUUACGGAUGUUACCUGAAGUUACCUCGCAUACCUGCUGCGUUGAGCCGCCGGUCUUACCAACCGGAAAUCGCGCAACCCCCGCUACUCUAACCUCGAGGGGGGAUUAGUGUCCACACGCUCUCAAGGGUGCAAACCCAUGCAUGUGCUCACGGUACCGUGAGGCCCAGGCACUCCUACGAUUCCUAGCUCCGCGCCGCUACUCCUGGCCGCUAAGUCCAAGCUCCCGUGUGUGUGUGUGUGUGUGUGUGUGUGUGUGUGUGUGUGUGUGUGUGUGCGUGCGGGGUGAGAUGGGGUGGGAUAGUCAAUUAGAGCCAAAACUGACCGGGGCCCGGGGUAAUGACACCAUUCACAGUAAGGAGUACGAGACACUGAGACACGUGCCAAGGGGGCCGACGGGCGGGCGAGGACAGGGGCAGGGCGGGAAGGCCUACCAGCGAAGGCGCAUGUGGCGUGUGGAUGGGGGGCGGUGCUUCCUCCAUCAGUCCCUUGACGACCCGCGCUCCCUGUUGUUAUCCCGCCCCCCUGCCCCCACCCCCUGCCGCCCCCUGCCCCCUGCCGCCCCGCUCCCACGCAUGGCCCCCUCAACACCGCGGCACUGCACAGCCAGCGGCGCCAGCACGUGCGGCGGCCCCGCUGCUGCUGCCAGUGCUUCCGCAGCUGGUGCUGUUUUUGCUUGUGCUGGUGCUGCCGCGGCUGGUGCUGGUGUAAUGCGGCCCCUGGCGGGUGCUGCUCCGCCCAGCCGCUCCGGCCGCUCGGGCCGCUUGGUCACAAGCCCCGCUGACCCCGGCCGUGGCCGUGGCCGUGACCGUGCGGUACACAUGCAGCACGGUACGCAGGGUUCGGAAGGAUGGCUGUUGUGCCGUGGCUAUGCGCACCAGACGGCAUGGGGCCAAACCCCACACCGCUCCCACCGGCCCCGCCCCGCACCCCCCAAGCCCAAGACCCGCAGCCCCGCGUCCUGGCGCGCUCACCCCAUCGCCUGCUUGCCCGGCCCCUCCGCCAUUAAGCAGUACUCUGGCCAUUUUGCGAGGUAGGUGAGGUAGAAGGGCAGGUUGUAUGUCUCGGUGAGGAUGUCUAGGUUCACGUUGUUGUAAUUAAACAGAUCAUUGCAUGUAAAUCUCCUUAGUGUUGUCAUCGCGACCUAUUUUCAAGCAGCGAGCGACCGAGUCGGCGUAGCCAGGGCAAGGGCGGCAAAAGAGCUGGCUGAGUUACGAGUGUAAUUCCUUAGCUCUGCAGUGUUAAGCAAUAUCUUGUUGCUGCUGUUUGAGAAUAAGAGAGGCUUCAAACAAGCGCCCUGGAAUUGUCACUGCUUGCAUGGGCGCUCCAGAAAACCUUACGCAUUUACUACUUCAAGCUAGUAAUUUGAUAUUAUUACUGCAAUACUUACUUUUUCAAGUUCUCAUUGCUUAAGAAUGCGACUGUCACUUUGGAAGCCGAAGUCGAGAGCCCUUGGCAGGCCAGACCCACAAGCGCAGAGUUGCUGUUUACGAUACUAAGUCUCAGAAAUGUCAUUUCCAUGGAGCACGGCGUAAGUUGCGCACGGUCGGCGAGGAGCUGCUCCGGGCAGUUACUCGGGAUGGGCGUCCGCCUGACUUCGUUUGCUGGCUUUGGUGUCCCCGGCUCGCAGGGACUCCAUGCGUGUGGGUACGCUGCUGGGCGUGCACCGGAAGGGGAAACGCGAAGUCGACCAGCCGAACUGGUUCCGCCUGGUUGAUGGUAACGAGCUACUAUGGACCUUGGCUGAGUCCGGGGGACAGGGCCCACUGCUGCCCUCCGCACCUGCCGUGGAGACCGCAUCUGUAAGCUGGACAGAGCUAAGCGAGGCGAUGGGGGUAUCUGCUGGUGUGGUGGGGCAAGGGUUGGGUAGGGAUGGAGGCAUGAGAGGUGGCAAACGGCAUUACCGGGGUUUGGCUGAGUGGCUGAGUAGCAAGUAGCAACGCGCCCGACUGCUAGGCCAGGACUGUUUCACACUUCGCCAACCUACUUGCUCCAACCCCUAAGCACAUUAUCCAACUCCAACAUCUUGUGACACAAACCCUGCCGAACUGCCGAACAUUUUUCCCCCCACCAAACCCACAGUCGGCCGCCGCAGCGUCAGCGUCAGCAGCGCUCGCACCCCAGCGCUUCUACUUCCCCGCGGCACCCGUGGGGGCGCCGCCGCUGCCUGGCUCCCAGCCCAACGCCGGCGCCCAGCACGCCGAGCUGGCGGCGGCCGCGGCGGCGGCGGCGGCGCCCCUGCCCGCCAAGGUGGUGCCGGCGGCGACAGCGGCGGCGGCGGGUGGCGGUGCGUCAGGGCGGUCGCUGGCGGCGCAGUUGGACGCGCUGGGAAUGCUGCCGCUGGCGCCGGCGCCGGCGCCACCGCAGCUGCAGGGGCAACACCAACAGCAACAGGGGCAACAGGGGCAACAGGGGCAACAGGGGCCGCAUGCGGCGGCGGUGCACAUGCCGAGGGCAGCUGCGGCGCCGCCCCCCAUGGUGGUGCAGCAACAGCUGCAGCAUAUGCAGCCUGGGCCGCCCUCUCAGGUGCCAGCCGCCGCAGCGGGCACAGCUCUCUCGCCGCCGCCGCCACAGCUGCUCACCACCGCCCUCUCCGGCUCCGUCGCCGGCAGCCGGCCAGCCACAGCUGCUGCCGCCGCCACCUCCGGCGGUGCAGACUCCAAGGCAGCUGGCGGCGGCGCCGCCACCGGUGGCGCUACUGCUGCUACAGCCAGCAGCGGCGGCGUGACGGUGGCGUAUGCUCCCGUGGGUAACGCGGCAGUGUACGACGGCACGCUUCCACCCGAUGUGGCGGCGUGGGGGCCGGGUUACGCCCCGCCGCCUGGCGCCGCCGCCACUGGGGAUGCGGCUGCGGCUGCUGCUGCUACAGCCGCUGUGUCGGGCAUUCAGCAGUGGCUGCUGCUACUGCCGGACCACAGCCGUGCGGUCAUGGCCAAGACCUGGUGGGUGGUGGCGGCCUGGCGGUGUUUGUGUGGGGGUGGGUGGGUGGGGACUCGAGUAUGCUGGGCAGGGUUCAAGAGCCAGGCUGUUGACACAAGCAGAAAGCCUUCUUACCGUAUUAUAACCCCACGGACACACUGCUACAGUCUCCUUUUAUCGUUCUCACACUCGCACCCUCUCUCCUCACGCUUUCCUACGCACCCAGGGCCAUCUCCGCGCACCGCGCCGCCGCCGCCGCCCUGCCGCGGUCGCAGCCGCCACCCGCCACCGCCGCGCCGGCCGCUGACUUCGAGCCGCAGCUGAUGAGCAAAUACCUGGUGCGUGUCUGUGUGGAGCGGGGUGCGUGUGAGUAUAAUGUUUUGUAGGCCUUCACUCGUGUGUAUGCUGCGCUGUGCUGCACUGUGUAAUGCCGAUCACGGCAUCGUUGGAAAGGAGCUGCUGCUGCUGUGCUUGGGUGUUUCACACGCGUUUCCCCCGCCCUCCCCCCCGUGCUCCCCCCUCCUGACGUGCCGUACAGGACUCACUGGUGUGGCCGCGACCCGGCACGCCGUGGCGGGGGCAGCUGGAGGGCGCCCUGCUGGUGCGUGCCGUACAGCAGCCUGUGGGGGGGGGGGGGGGAAGUGGUGGCCGUGGUGGAUGGCGGAGGCUGAAGGGGGCUCAGACAGGGGGGGAAUCAGCUUCACCACCGACACUUUAUUGCAGGACAGCCGACCUGUCGAGCUCACACAUCCGUGCUUCCUUCCUUUCCUGGUGAUCUGCAACACUCAUGCACCUGUUACACGGUGUCCAUCCUCCCUCCUUUUGCUGUUUUGUUUCGCCUACACAACGGCCAACACACACACACACACACACACACACACAUGCUCAUUCACGCACACUCACAGGUGGACCAGACGCAGUAUGUCAGCGGCGAGCCCGCGCCCCAGGUCAACCUCACGCCUGGUCUGGUCUGGCAGUACACCAACGAGCUAUACGAAACGGGCCAACCGCCGCCGCCGCCGCCACACAUGGAAGGCAUGGACCAACAGGCGGCGACACUGGCGCUGUACGGCGCUGACGUCACUGGCGGCGGCGGCGCGUCGCCGCCAUGGGACCAGCAACUGCAGCAGCAACAGCAGCAGCAGGGGCGGCGUUACGGCGGCUCGCCCACGUACAACACCCUGUACGGCACUGACAGCGUGUACGGCGGCGGCGGCGCCGCCACUGACGCGGCGUCGUACGCGGGAGGGGGCUCGCGGGGGGACAUCAGCAGCAGCUGGGACCCGCAUCAUCAGCAGCAGCUGCUACAGCUGCAGCUGCAGCGUACGGCGGCGGCGGCAGAUGAUGACUACAGCGCACAGGUGGGGUCGCCGGAGCACUUCCUGGGCCGGCCGCCAGCGGGCCGCACGCCCGUGACGGCGGCUGUAGCACCCGGGUCCUACCGCUACCGCGGCGGCAGCAGCGGCGGCGGCGCACUGCUACUGCCGACAUCCGGUCGCGGCGCCGCCGCCGCCGGCAGCAGCACUGGGCCUAGCGGUACACAGCAGCUGUACGGCAUGUAUGAGUGGAUGGUGGGCGCGCCGCCGCCGCUAGGCGGCGGCGGCGGUGGCGGCCAGCGGGUGCUACAGCCGACACUUGCCAGCAACCCGGCGAUGACGGGGGAGCUGAUGACGCUGGAGACGGGGGAGCAGCUGCUACUGCCGCCGCCGCUCACACCGCUGGAGCAGUCGGUGCUGGAGGGGCCGCUGGCGAGGGUGCCGUACCCGCCCGAGCUGGCACGGUACGUGUCGUCCCGUACUACGGCCAUUACGACAUCAUUGUACGACAAGCCGCAGCCGCUGGCGCUGCAGCAUGUGCCGUACGCGGCGGUGUGGCAGGCCAUGUGGGCGGCGUGGGAGCUCGAGGAGCGGCAGCGGCAGCAGCAGCAAACCCAGCUCAGCCGCCUGCUGAAGCGCUCCGGCGGCGGCGGCGCGGCCUCCUCGCUGCUGCCGCCGCCGCAGUUCCAGUCCGACACCUACAUCACCGACAUGUACGGCACCCCCAUUUCGCCGGAGCUGCUGUACGACCAGACCACGGCGGCGGCUGCGCCAGACCACCAGACCGGCUGGAGUUUUGCGGACCGCGCGUUCGCGCUGCGCCGCCGUAUGGACCGCAAACGCAUGGAGGAGGCGCUGGCGCCGGUUUUCGUGGUGGACCUGGAAAACGGCGCCGUAACAAUCAGCUACGUGUCUACAACUGCCAAGGACGCCGCCGCAGCAGGCGGGCGUGGGGAGGUGGAGACGCAGACGUCGCUGCGGGAGGGCUCGGGUUCAGGCAGCGAUGCCGCGCCAGGCGAGGAGGAGGGCUCGCUGAGCCGGAGCAGUAGCACCAGCAGCACCAGCAGUAGCCGUAGUAGCAGCAGCGGCAGUAGCAGCACUAGUCGCGGCAGCGUGAGUGGCAUCUCCAAGAGCGCCGAGCGCAGCCGGUUCAGGAGGAUGAUGCGAGCUCUGAACCCGGUGCGGUGGUGGCGGCACAUGCGGCGGCGGCAGCGCGGCGACAGCAGCAGUAGCAGCAGCAGCGACAGCGACAGCGAGUCUGACUAUGAGAGCGAUGAGGAGGAGGGUGCCGGCAGCGGUGACGGCAGCGAGGAGGGCCGCCGCCGCCGCCACGCGCGGCGGCGGAGGCAGUCACAUGCUAGCGGCGGCGGCGGCGGCUCGGAUGCUGAGUCGUCAGAGCCCGGCUCGGAGGUCACGAGCGAGGGCGAAGGCGAGGACGAGGAGGGGGGCGCUGGGAAGCCUGACAAGCGCGCCGGGGUAAAGGCGGCCGUGCGGCGGCGGCAGCAGCAGGCGGCGUCACUGGCGCGGCGCGCGGCGCGGCGGCUGCGCCACGCGUCCCGCCUCACCGCCCACCACUCCCGCAACGCCUGGCGCACGCUGCGGCACGAGCCGCUCAGAUCCACGCCGCCGGCCCUGUCGCCGUACACACCCACAGUGGCUGGUAGCGAUGAAGAGGAGGACGACGAGGGGGAGGCAGAUGGCGAGGAGGAGGGCGAGGAGGGCAGCGAGGAACGCAAGGCAGCCAUGCUAGCCAAGAAGAAAAAGGCGGCCGCCGCGAAAAAAGAGAAAGCGGCGGCGGCGGCGAAGCUUGCUAAGAAGCAGCAGGCGAAGAAGAAAGCAGCAGCAAAAAAGGCUAAGAAGAGUAAGAAGCAUGGGAGCAAGAAGUCGAAGCGGCACGGCAGCAAGAGGAAGUCGAAGAGCCACGGCAGUAGCCGCCGCACCAGCACUUCGGGUGCCGCCGCCGCGGCUGACCGCAGCGGCAGGUCUGGAGCUGCUACUGCCACUGCUGGCGGCGGCGGCGGCCGGGUACGCGGCAGCAGUGGCGCUGGCGCCGAUGGCGCUCCGGCGGCUGCCGACCGGCGGCAGCCGCGUGAGGAGCCGGAGGGCGAGAGCGAGGAGGAGCCAGAGCAGAUCGAGUCAGACGACGAAGGGGAGCAGGUGACGGCGGCAGCAGCAGCCACUGAGGAGGGCGGCGGCGCCGCCGCCACGGCGGCGGCGAAGGCGGCGGCGAAGGCGGCGGCGAAGGCCGGCAAGUCGGGCGCUAGCGGCAAGAAGAACAAAAAGGACGCGGCCCAUGCGGACACGGCUGGAGGCAAGAAGGCUAAGAAGGGCCUCGGCACCAAGACAAAGAAGCUGACUGGCAAGCUAAAAUUCUGGAAGCGAGGUGCCGCCGGGGGCGGUGGUGGCAGCGGCGGUGAUGGCGAGGCGGCGGCAUCUGAGGAGGAAGACGGAGAGGAGGGCGAUGGCGAACGCGAGGAGGCUGAGGCGGGGGCGGCGGCUGGUGGCGAUGCCGCCGCCGCCAGGAGCAAGGGGAAGGCUCUCAAGGUGAAGGCCGAUGCCACAGCCACAGCCAAAGCCAAAGCCAAAGCCGAUAAAACGGAGAAGGGCAAGAAAGGCGCUAAGGACGCUAAAGACGCCAAGAGCAAGGCAACAGACAAGAAGCAGAAGGGCAAGGCCGUCAGCGCCGCUGGUGCUGAGGAGGCUGAGCCUGAGAUCAUCGAGUCCGACGGCGAGGAGGGCGAGGAGCGUGAGGAGCCAGAGCAGAUUGAGUCGGAGGGCGAGGAGGAGGGCGAGGAGGCGGCGGCAGAUGCCGCCGCCGGUGCCGCCGGAGGCGGAAAGGGCGGCAAAUCCAAGGCCCCCAGCGGCAAGACCAAAUCCACAGCCAAACAGAUGUGGCGCGGUCUGAUGUCCAAGGCCAAGCUUUCCAAAAAGCCCAAAGAGGGCCAGCAGGGCCAGGACGAGGCCAAGGAGGAGGGCGAGGCGGAUUCAGCAUCCGGCGGCAAGAAGUCAACGGGCACCAAAACGGCAAAGCCGGACAAGGGCAAAGGCGGCAAGGGCAAGGCCGCUGGGGCCGGCGAGGAGGAGGAGGCUCCGGAGCAGAUCGAGUCCGAGGGCGAGGAGGGUGAGGCGGGCGGCGGCGAGGCGGCCGGCGGCGGCGGCGACAAGGGCGCCUCGGGCAAGGCCGGUGACCGGUGGCUGAGCGCCGUGAGGAGCGCUGCGUCGAAGCCGUGGAGUGCCUGGAGCAAGAAGGCAAAGGACAAGAAGGAGGCGGCGGCGGCGGCCAAGGCCAAGGCGGCGGCGGCCGCAAAGGCGGCGGCGGCCGGCGUGCCCGAGACCAUCCAGGAGGGAAGUGAGGAGGGUGAGGAGGGUGAGUCGCCGGCGGCCGCGGCGGCGGCGCAGCGUGGCAGUGGCAGUGGCAGCGGCAGCGGCGGUGCCGGGGCGGCAGCGGCGGCUUCCAAGGCCAAACCACAGCCCGAGGUGCAGAUGCCAAAGGCAACGGGCAAGGCUGCAAAGGCGGCGGCUAAGGUGGAGGCGGCGGCGAAAAAAGCAGCCGCCAAGGCCACUGCCGCCGACGCCGGCGGCGGCGGCGGCAGUGGAAGCCCGGGUGGCGUGGCGGCCGCGGCGGCGGCUUCAGCAAAGGAUGCAGCGGCGGCGGUGGGCACAGCGGGGCAGGUAGGGGCCGGCAAGGGGGCGGCCGCCGCCGCCGCCGCCACAGCAACAGUAGCAGCAGGCGGCGCCACGGGACUUGCUGCGGCCGCUGCCGCCGCCGCUUCCACCCUCAAGACACGGGCGUCCGAGACGCUGCCGGGCCCAGCCACCGCCGCCGCUGCGGCCGCCGAGCCCGAGGACGAGGAGGAGGAGGACGAUGAUUCGCCGGCUGCCCAGCAGCCCUUGAAGGCAGCCGGCGCCGCCGCCGCCGCCACCAGCUCCACGGCUCCCAGCCGCCGCAAGAGCAGCACCCUGACGGAGGCGGAUGCCGUGCCGGCGGCGGCGGCGGCGACGGCGGCGGCGCGGGCGGCGGAGGGUGGUGGCAAGAAGGGCGCGGAUGCAGUCGCGACAUCCACAUCGGCGGCACCAGCACCGGCGGCUGCAAAGCCGCUGUCAAGCGACUGGGCGGCGGCGGAGGCGGCGGUGGCGGCAGCCAAGGCGCAUGCUAAGGAGGCGGCGGCUGCCGCGGCCGCGGGUGGCACGUCCAUGGACCUUGAAGAGGAGGAGUCGGUGCUCCGUGCCUCCGCCAACUCGGGUGUCGUGACCGACACCGAAUCAACUGCGGGCGGCGCUAAGGCCGUCAAGGCCGGCAAGCCCGGCAAGGGGCCUAAGGGCAAGAAGGGCAAGAAGGGCGCUGCCGCUGCUGCCGCUGGAGCCGUAGCCGGCAAGGACAUCGUGGGGUCGUCGGGCGAGGGCGCGCCGCUCAAGGGCCCCAAAGCCAAGCUGCUCCAAAAGCUGUUGAACCUGUCGACCGUAGUGAACCAGCAGCGCGCCGCGGCGGAGGCGCAGGCGGCCGCCGGCGGGGCGGAGGGAGCGGCGGCCGCCGCCGCCGCGGCUGCGCCAGCCGCCGGCGCCGCCGCUGGAGCCGGCGGCGCCACGGCUGUUGCAGUGACCUCCAAGUCUUAUAGCAAGGAUGAGGUGCCGAAGGAGAUGAGAAAGCUAGCAGACGACCAGGUGCGAGCUCUCGGUGACGACGACGAUGAUGACGAUGGCGGUAAUGGCACCGCGCCGGAGGAGGCGGCGGCGGCGGCGGCGGUGGCAGCGGCGGCGGCUGGCGGCGGCGGCGGCACUGGCUCUCCUGGCGGCGGCUCCGGCGGCUCUCUGGGCAGCAGCCUGCCGGUGACGACCAAGCAAAGCGCGCUGCAGCGACUGAAGAGCACACUGGCCCGGUGAGGGGGGGAGGGCUGUUGAGGGUGGGGGGGGGGAGGGGGAGGGCCGGAGGGGGUUGGUGAGGGACGUGGCAGCAACAACGCUGACGGACUGGCAUGCGUGGCGUGUGUGAUUGCCGCCAACCUACACACGGUACCCACGGCCCAGAAAUCUCGCCCACACCCACACCCACACCCACACCCACACACCAACACACACCCACACACCCACACACGCACCCACAGAAAGCGGGACAAGGCCAAGGGCGGCGAGGAGGUGGGGUGGUGCAUGGGAGGGGGGGAGGGGGGGCACAUGGAGGCGGUAGAUGUGGUGUGUGUAUGUGUGUGUUCCCGCUGCAGGUUGUGUGCCGGUCCCACGUGAUCUCACACAAUGAGAUGGAGGCAAUGCAACAUAGCACCCUGGUACAUCGCACAAACCAUCCUCACCGUACAUCAAUACAUCUCACACAUCUUCUCCCUCUCCCUCUCCCCCUCCCAUCGCUCCUUCCUCACACAGGGCGCUGCUGACACGGACAGUGGCGGCGGCGGCGGCGGAGGUGGGGACGGCAGCGGCGGCGGCAGCGGCGGCGGCGGCAGUGGCGGCGGCAGCGGCGGCCCCACGCCCGCGUUCCGCCGCAGCGGCGGUGGCGGCGGCGUGGAGGUGUCCUCCCCCAGCCGCACCGCCAAGGGCAGCGCCACGGGCGGCGGCGUGGCAGCCAAGCUGCUGGCCAGCCUGCGCUCCUCGGCGGGCCGCGGCGGCGGUGAUGUGGGCGGCCCGGCCCUGACUGCGGGAGGUGAGCUCGUGCGUGGUGGCCACACGGCUUACGGCACACGGCACAGCAGUGCAUUGGCUACAAUGGCAGUGGCGGGGCAGUGCGGGGGAGUGCGUGGCGUGGGAGUGCAGGCACUGCCCCGCUGUCCACUGCUGUGUACGGCACUGCCGCGGUAAUAACGUCGCGAAGCGCCCACUCAGGCCCUGGCCCUGUCCCUGCCCUGUGCUGCCCUGUGCUGCCCUGUCCUUGUCCUUGUCCUGCCCCAUGUGUGGUCUAUUUGUCCUUGACCUAUGUGCUGCGCUGCCCUUGACCUAUGUGCUGUGCUGUGCUGUGCUGCAGACUCGCCGCGCACCAGCGGCGGCAGCGGUAUGAUGAGCCGACUGAUGGGCUCACUGCGCCGGGGCAAGCCGCCGCCCGAGGUGCAGGUGCGCGUGUGUUUUGUAUAAAGAGCACAAAGAAAACAUAGCGCAAAGACAGUGCGUGUGUGCGUGCGUGUGCGUGCGCGCGUGUGUGUGUGUGUGUGUGUGUGUGAGGGUGUGUGAGGUGUGCGUGUGUGUGUGUGUGUGUCUGUGUGUGUGUGU
RNAcentral lists this long non-coding RNA (25502 nucleotides) under Chlamydomonas reinhardtii. RNAcentral describes it as "long non-coding RNA (CREI_LNC000731)". Lineage: Eukaryota; Viridiplantae; Chlorophyta; Chlorophyceae; Chlamydomonadales; Chlamydomonadaceae. The record is from RNAcentral.